UCUAGAUGUGUGCUUAAAUCUAAUCUAAAUGUCGCUUGUAGUUACUUGUACAUUAUGUUUAUUAAUUCAAAGAUCAAGUGAGUACCAUGAGUUAAGACUAUCUGACUACAGCUCUUGUACCUACAGUUGGACCAAUGGUUGAAAAGUGGAAAUAUAGUGUUUCUACAUAAGACAAGAGAUUACAAUCUAAUAAUCAGGACAACUACUGGUGGGCCAAACCAAAUGGCUUGGCAGGCCAAUUUUGGCCCACGGGUCCCACUUUGGGCACCUCUGGUUUAGAGGAUUUUAGGAUGUUUAUAGAAUUUCUUGACUUAUUAACUACUUCAAACAAGUAACAUACAUUAUUUAUAAAGAGUAAAGGCAAAACCCAUUUUACAUUUAAAGUCUACUUUAUCAUAGAAAACAUGAAAUGGUUUUUAACGUUUUCUGUAUUUUUUCAGUCACACCCUUUUCUUGACAUUGUUUUAGUUUAACAGUUUUUUAUUUAUUUUUAAGCAGUUUUCUUUAAAACUCAAUCUGUUAUUUUCUCUUUCAGUUGUAGAUUUCUUGCUGCCUGAAUGACAAACCUCCCAUCAAACCUCAUCUGUUGGAUCGACAGUGUCUCACAUUUGUUGACUUCAUUGCAAGUUGCAGUUUCUCUGAACACUGCAUGAUGUGACCUCGGGGUGAAGCUGUUGGGACRAAGAGACCAGGGAAGACUGACAGAUGCCUUGUAUGUUUUCAACUUAGGGGUGAAAAUUGUUUUUAGAAAACAAUAAAUUUCUAACAAUUUGGAA
Austrofundulus limnaeus is the source of this 776-nucleotide long non-coding RNA. RefSeq lists it as uncharacterized. The transcript has 2 exons. NCBI's taxonomy places the organism in Eukaryota, Metazoa, Chordata, Actinopteri, Cyprinodontiformes, Rivulidae. The record is from RefSeq and is a predicted model, not a curated record.